RNAcentral lists this ribosomal RNA (409 nucleotides) under bacterium. RNAcentral describes it as "partial 16S ribosomal RNA". It matches the Rfam family "Bacterial small subunit ribosomal RNA", at positions 355 to 776 of the family's 1533-position model. The record is from RNAcentral.
UGGGGAAUAUUGCACAAUGGGCGGAAGCCUGAUGCAGCGACGCCGCGUGGGGGAUGAAGUCCUUCGGGUUGUAAACUCCUUUCGACAGGGACGAAGCUUUUGUGACGGUACCUGUAUAAGAAUAACCGGCUAACUACGUGCCAGCAGCCGCGGUAAUACCUAGGGUGCGAGCGUUGUCCUGAAUUACUGGGCGUAAAGAGCUCGUAGGUGGUUUGUCGCGUCGUCUGUGAAACUCCGGGGCGUAACUCCGGGCGUGCCGGCGAUACAGGCUGACUUGAGUGCUGUAGUGGAGGCUGGACUACCUGGUGUAGCGGUGAAAUGCGCAGAUGUCAGGAGGAACACCGAUGGCGAAGGAAGGUCUCUGGGCAGUAACUGACGCUGAGGAGCGAAAGCAUGGGUAGCGAACAGG